AUAUACGUAUCAAUUUAUGCAUAAUUACUAGCAGAACAGGUAGGCAGCUAAGUUAGCCCAUUUAUGUGUUUAAAUUAUUAUUUUUUUUACAGAUUUAGUAACUUUCACAAGACAGCAUUAGUCCCUGAAGACUGGAUGUCUUAGGAGACUCCAUUACAGUAUAUAAACCAUGCUGCCAAGGAUGGGUUUAUAAUUUCUGGUAUGGGUAACAUUCAGGAAUGUGGCUUCAGACUUCUCUCCAGAGGAGUGGGAAUUGUACUGGGAUGCUAUGAUGGAGAGCUGCAGUAACUUGGUCUCACUGGUUCAUGAGAAGAUGGAUAUUAAGAUCAGGGCCAUAACUACAGUGAGACUGAAGUCGGUGAAGUGCCUGGAGUCCAAAAUUUAAGUAGGCAUUCACUCUUAGGGUCGUGUUGUCUAACUAACCUGUCCUGAGUUCCAAGGGGUAUGUCAAUCUCAAGAUGGGGCACAGAAGUAUGUAAGCUGCAAGCAAUAGGAGAUUUAAGAGAAAGUCAAGACAACCUGACUGGCUGUAAACUCCCGCUCUUACUUAAAGGACAACUGCAUUCACGUUAAUUAGAAAUCCAAGUCAGGUAUUUUUAUGAUGUAUGACUAAGGUUAGUAUCCUUGAGCUCUCCCUAGGAGAUAAAGUCUCCAACCUUUAGGUAACAUGAAGGACUUGAAGCUGACCAUAGACUCUGUGAUGCUCAAGUUUCCAAUCCAUUAGGGGACCCUGAUAUUUGACUCAGAUCAUCUGCUGCUCCCAGAUUACACCCUACCCCCAGAACCGGCAUCAGAAGUUGUGAUGAUUUUAGCCUGGUCAUCCCCCAGAUGCCGGUUAUCUGAAUAAACCUUCUAAUCUUUGCACCAA
Galeopterus variegatus (Sunda flying lemur) is the source of this 868-nucleotide long non-coding RNA. RefSeq lists it as uncharacterized. The transcript is spliced from 5 exons. Lineage: Eukaryota; Metazoa; Chordata; Mammalia; Dermoptera; Cynocephalidae. The record is from RefSeq and is a predicted model, not a curated record.